RNAcentral lists this small nuclear RNA (23 nucleotides) under Arabidopsis thaliana (thale cress). Its description in RNAcentral is "snRNA_12349". The record is from RNAcentral. Lineage: Eukaryota; Viridiplantae; Streptophyta; Magnoliopsida; Brassicales; Brassicaceae.
AGAUUUGAGUUGUAUAUAAGAGA